CUACGGGAUGCAGCAGUGAGGAAUUUUGCGCAAUGGGGGAAACCCUGACGCAGCAACGCCGCGUGAGUGAUGAAGGCCUUCGGGUCGUAAAGCUCUGUCAAGUGGGAAGAACCUAUCGAUAUUGAAAAUAUAUUGAUACUGACGGUACCACAAGAGGAAGCACCGGCUAACUCCGUGCCAGCAGCCGCGGUAAUACGGGGGGUGCAAGCGUUAUUCGGAAUCAUUGGGCGUAAAGGGCGCGCAGGCGGCCUUGUAAGUCAGAUGUGAAAGCCCGGGGCUCAACCCCGGAAGUGCAUUUGAAACUAUGAGGCUGGAGUAUGGGAGAGGGAAGUGGAAUUCCUGGUGUAGCGGUGAAAUGCGUAGAUAUCAGGAGGAACACCGGUGGCGAAGGCGACUUCCUGGACCAAUACUGACGCUGAGGCGCGAAGGCGUGGGGAGCAAACAGGAUUAGAUACCCUGGUAGUC
This 465-nucleotide ribosomal RNA is filed under the name uncultured bacterium. RNAcentral describes it as "partial 16S ribosomal RNA". It matches the Rfam family "Bacterial small subunit ribosomal RNA", at positions 339 to 795 of the family's 1533-position model. The record is from RNAcentral.